CACGUAGGGGGCAAGCGUUGUCCGGAUUUAUUGGGCGUAAAGAGCUCGUAGGCGGCUCAGUUAGUCGGGUGUGAAACCCCCGGGCUCAACCCGGGGACGCCACCCGAUACUGCUGUGGCUAGAGUCCGGUAGGGGAGCGUGGAAUUCCUGGUGUAGCGGUGGAAUGCGUAGAGAUCCGGAAGAACACCGGUGGCGAAGGCGGUUGGCUGGGCCACAACUGACACUGAUGCGCGACAGCGUGGGUAGCAAACAGG
RNAcentral lists this ribosomal RNA (254 nucleotides) under uncultured bacterium. RNAcentral describes it as "partial 16S ribosomal RNA". It matches the Rfam family "Bacterial small subunit ribosomal RNA", at positions 524 to 776 of the family's 1533-position model. The record is from RNAcentral.